This 509-nucleotide ribosomal RNA is filed under the name Phelsuma nigristriata. RNAcentral describes it as "partial 16S ribosomal RNA". It matches the Rfam family "Bacterial large subunit ribosomal RNA", at positions 1852 to 2588 of the family's 2925-position model. The record is from RNAcentral. Lineage: Eukaryota; Metazoa; Chordata; Lepidosauria; Squamata; Gekkonidae.
GUCAAACCUGCCCAGUGAAUUAAUUUUUAACGGCCGCGGUAUCCUAACCGUGCAAAGGUAGCAUAAUCACUUGUCCCCUAAAUAGAGACUCGUAUGAACGGUUAAAUGAGGGCCUAACUGUCUCCUGCAGCCAAUCAAUAAAAUUGACCUUACAGUACAAACGCUGUAAUAAAUAUAUAAGACGAGAAGACCCUGUGGAGCUUUAAAUUUUUACAUUAUUUAAUAUAUCCUAAAUUUUUCAUUAAUAUAAUGUAAGUUUUAAGUUGGGGCGACUAUGGAAUAAAAAGAAACCUCCAUGUAAAACACGAUUAAACCUUGUCACGCAAGGCUAACAAGCCUAACAAAAUUUAAACCGACCCAGUAAAACUGACCACCGAACCAAGUUACCCCAGGGAUAACAGCGCCAUCCCCUUAAAGAGUCCACAUCGACAGGGGGGUUUACGACCUCGAUGUUGGAUCAGGACACCCAAGUGGUGCAGCAGCUACUAAAGGUUCGUUUGUUCAACGAA